Notothenia coriiceps (black rockcod) is the source of this 1444-nucleotide long non-coding RNA. RefSeq lists it as uncharacterized. Lineage: Eukaryota; Metazoa; Chordata; Actinopteri; Perciformes; Nototheniidae. The record is from RefSeq and is a predicted model, not a curated record. The transcript is spliced from 2 exons.
ACACGAUACUCCUCUGUGAUAAAAAACCGAUGUGGCUGGACAAUGUAGCCGGCAGACUCCAGAAAAAACUCUACCCAGAAUGUCGGAGAGCUUGUGUCCGAAUGUCCAGCUCAUUUUCUCCAAUUCGCUUCAUACAACCAAGGCAAUGCUGGAUACCUUGCGAUGGGAAACAGACUGAAGGAGUUGUUUGACAAGGAAUUUAAUAGUCAACAUCUCUGAACAAACUGUUGGCUGACAGAUUUCAUUUUUAAGCUCAGUAGAUACUGGGAAAAUGUGUAAAUAGCCCUGUUUAUUCCAAACAGAAAAGCUGCUAAUCAAGAGAAGGCAAUGGAACUUUACUUGAUUUAAGACACAACUUAUCUAGUUUACCUAACGUACUUUUUAAAUUACAUUGAAUUUCAAAGUGUAAACCUGUGGAAGGUACAUCAAAAGAUGUCUGAUUUACAGGUCAUAAACAGUACUUCCAGAUAGGUUAGAAGUUGUAAAAGCCUUUUGAAAUUGCCUUAAGUGAUGUCACUUGAGUCAGCGUUGCCUCUUUGUAUAUAACAAUCCGGGGGGGGGGGGAUAGAUUAAUCAUUUAUGUAAUAAGUGAGAUGGCCAGACCUUUUGAGUCGGCUCCAUAUCUCUGCUUGUGUAAUUUAACUAGUAUAUUCUCCAACCUUAUGUUGCGUUUCAGUCAAAGGUCCAAAAGUUUUUCCGGUUAAAGUUUUCAACUUCCCAAGUGUUUCAGCUCCAGGAUGCAAAGUGAGCAUGUGCUGAUCGUGGGGAGAUGAUGUUUCUCUGGCAAGAGCUCUGUAGCAAUUUGACUGUUUUAACGUUUUCCAAAUAACUUUUAUACUGUCAAGAUAACUUUCAAAGAUUUUUUACUCUAACCAGCUACCUUGUUUCCUGCUCUGACAUCCAUUUACACUCAGGUUUUACUGUCCAAUAGUAUGAAUAUAAUUACAAAUAGGUAAAUAUAUUAUUAGAUAAUAGCAACACUGACUUUAAAUGGUGUUUUAUUUCCUUUUGUAGUAGUAUAGACAUGUUUGGACUUUUCAGUCUCAUCCUGUGUAAUUAAUUCAACAGAUUGUUCAAGGAAGACAAAUGCGUGAACAAAGUCUUGAGUGUUAUUGGACAGCUUUUUGCAUAAAAAGGUUAAGUAUGGUAUCAUUAGUAUUUGUUUAAUUGUUUUCUUAAGUUUUGACAGCUUUUCGUUAACCCAAGUUUUUACAAUGGAGGUGUUUUAUAUGAAUGUGUGAUUUUAUUCAAAGAAAAUGUAACUCCCAACAUUAUUUUCAAUGGCACUUUAUUAUAAAGAAUAAUCACGUUAGGAUAAGAGUGUUUCAUAAAGUAUAAAUUAUGAAUGUAUGUUUUGUGAAAGUCAGAAAUUGACUUUGUAUUAGUCCAAAGCAUUAGCAUAAAAAAUGAUAUUGCUUGUUUUGAUAAACCUGCUUGUACUUCA